UUAAAUAUGCUAGCUCCUGCUUAUUCUUUCUUUCUUUCUUUCUUUCUUUCUUUCUUUCUUUCCUUUUCUUUUUACUUUCCACUCCUCUGCUCUGCUUCUAUUUUAAGGACUGAAAAUGAAGUAAGGAAUAAGACAGGUUAGUUUCCAUUUAUGUGUAGUCUUACUUUCUAGUGGAAAAAAAAACCCAAGGCCACAAGUAAAUGCUCUGAAGAAAAUAAAACACUGCAAGUGAGAAGAGGGUAGGAGGACAAGAGAGGAUGCUGGAAGUACAGUUGGAAGCCAUUGAAGAAUUCCAGGUGAUCGUGAUGGUUUGAAUUAUGGACUAAUUAAAAGAAGAACCAAUGAGACCAGACAUAAGGAGGGAAACUUAAGAAAAAAGAAAGAAGAAAGAAGUCUUUUCCAAACUCUAUCAACCAGUGGUCAAAGAUAUGGAGGUUAAAGGAAGAGAAGAAAAGUAAGCUUAAGGAAAUCGAACGCUGAGAAGCCUGUGAACUUGUCACAUCAGUGUGCAGCCUGGACAACUGACAGACCCAACACCAAAUGCUGUGGUUCCUUUUGCAAUCGUCUGUAAUUCUCCAACUCUGAGCAACAGGUUUGGAGGUCUCUCUGAACCCAGCUCCAGAGGAAACACUGGAUACACAAGUAUAACUUAAUUGGCAAUGUACAUGCGGACAUUAAGGAAGGCUGGGUAGACAGGAAUUGUAUACAAAGAGCCUACAGCUACUAAUGUAUAAUCUUGUAACAAAACUGCACCAUCACCUCUGUCCAGGUAACACGCUGAGUCCCUUCAAGAAUGGCUCCCGGGAACCUGCUGAGAUACACCUGCAAAACCCACAACUCAGCAGAAUCCCUCCGGCUCUCAUCCUGUGGUUUUCAUGUUCCUUCUGGAGUUUCAAAAACUCACUGAUGUUUCAGGUGUGGAAGGAACCUUAGAGAUCAUCUCUACUGGUUUCACAGAGAAGGGGACUGAGACUGAGAGUGGUUAAGCGUGUUGCCCAGGGUCACAUAGAAAGGCAGCGUUGGAGUCAGAGCUCAGGAGUAGGUCUCAGUAAAAAAUAAAGCUGGGAAACCCCUGAGCGAUCAUCACUGUGUCCUAUCUAUUUAAGAGGUGUAAAAUAAAGGAUCGAGGAGGACAAGUUCAAAUGCUAUAGACCUCAUGGAGCCUAAACAGAACUUGAGGCUUCACUCUACUCAUUCAUGUGUCCAUCAAUUUAAGAGAUGUUUACUGAGUACCUACUAUGUGCUAGGUGCUGGAGGUGAAAUGGUUAUCCAAGUACACAUAGCCCCUUCCCUCACAGAGUCUAAAAUAUAGGGCAAGAAAUAUAUAUCAAUCAAAUUGUCACACAAGCAUAUACUAGCAAAAUGUGACGGGCGCUAUGAGUGUUAGAAGGGUGGGAUAUGGUCUAGUCAAAGGGGCUAGAUAUCAUAUGAGGGCUGGGAUUGAAUGAAUAGAGAUUGAUAGGUGAAGUGUGUUGAGGUGGGUAAAACAUAAUUCUAAACAGAGGGAAUGGCAUGUGCAAGGGGCCUGAGGUACGAAGAAGCUUGGCCCAUUACAGUAAUUACAGAAAGCUUGUGAUGGAUGUGUGCCCAGAAUGAGAAGGGAUGAGUCUGGUAAGGUGGUCCGAUUACUUUGUGGGGUUUAGUUCUUUGUCCUAAGACAUAGGGAGAGCAAAUCAAGGCUUAGAGGGGCAUGCAAAUGGCAUGCAAAAAUAGAACACUUUGUUUCCAUUGUAGCACAUGUUAUAUUGAAUUUCAAUGUUGCUCCCAUGGUUGGUCCUUAAGUGUAACCAUUGCUUGAAUCAUGUCUAUUUCUAUC
This is a long non-coding RNA of Felis catus (domestic cat), 1816 nucleotides long. RefSeq lists it as uncharacterized. The transcript is spliced from 6 exons. The record is from RefSeq and is a predicted model, not a curated record. Lineage: Eukaryota; Metazoa; Chordata; Mammalia; Carnivora; Felidae.